Molecule: ribosomal RNA, 434 nt
Filed under: uncultured bacterium
Lineage: Bacteria
Description: partial 16S ribosomal RNA
Rfam family: Bacterial small subunit ribosomal RNA
Source: RNAcentral
AGCGAACGCUGGCGGCAGGCCUAACACAUGCAAGUCGAACGAACCUUUCGGGGUUAGUGGCGGACGGGUGAGUAACACGUGGGAACGUGCCUUUAGGUUCGGAAUAACUCAGGGAAACUUGUGCUAAUACCGAAUGUGCCCUUCGGGGGAAAGAUUUAUCGCCUUUAGAGCGGCCCGCGUCUGAUUAGCUAGUUGGUUGAGGUAAUGGCUCACCAAGGCGACGAUCAGUAGCUGGUCUGAGAGGAUGAUCAGCCACAUUGGGACUGAGACACGGCCCAAACUCCUACGUGAGGCAGCAGUGGGGAAUCUUGCGCAAUGGGCGAAAGCCUGACGCAGCCAUGCCGCGUGAAUGAUGAAGGUCUUAGGAUUGUAAAAUUCUUUCACCGGGGACGAUAAUGACGGUACCCGGAGAAGAAGCCCCGGCUAACUUUGUG